GCCGGGGUGGCUCAGUGGAUAGAGUGUCGGCCUUCGGACCGAAGGGUCCCAGGUUCGAUUCCCGGUCAGGGCC
RNAcentral lists this transfer RNA (73 nucleotides) under Myotis brandtii (Brandt's bat). It matches the Rfam family "tRNA". From Rfam's summary of the family: Transfer RNA (tRNA) molecules are approximately 80 nucleotides in length. Their secondary structure includes four short double-helical elements and three loops (D, anti-codon, and T loops). Further hydrogen bonds mediate the characteristic L-shaped molecular structure. tRNAs have two regions of fundamental functional importance: the anti-codon, which is responsible for specific mRNA codon recognition, and the 3' end, to which the tRNAs corresponding amino acid is attached (by aminoacyl-tRNA synthetases). tRNAs cope with the degeneracy of the genetic code in two manners: having more than one tRNA (with a specific anti-codon) for a particular amino acid; and 'wobble' base-pairing, i.e. permitting non-standard base-pairing at the 3rd anti-codon position. The record is from Rfam by way of RNAcentral. Lineage: Eukaryota; Metazoa; Chordata; Mammalia; Chiroptera; Vespertilionidae.